GAGUUUGAUCCUGGCUCAGGGACGAACGCUGGCGGCGCGCUUAACACAUGCAAGUCGAGCGACGAAAGGGCCUUCGGGCCCCUGAAAGCGGCGAACGGGUGAGUAACACGUGGGCAACCCACCCUCGGUUCCGGGAUAGCCCGGGGAAACCCGGAUUAAUACCGGAUGGCCUCUCCGGUCUGCGGAUUGGUGAGAAAAGGUAGCUUCAGCCUCCGACCGAGGACGGGCCCGCGGCCGAUUAGCUUGUUGGUGGGGUAACGGCCCACCAAGGCGACGAUCGGUAGCUGGUCUGAGAGGACGAUCAGCCACACUGGGACUGAGACACGGCCCAGACUCCUACGGGAGGCAGCAGUGGGGAAUCUUGCGCAAUGGGCGAAAGCCUGACGCAGCGACGCCGCGUGCGGGAAGAAGGCCUUCGGGUUGUAAACCGCUUUCAGGAGGGACGAAGCCACUCGGGUGAACAGCCCAGAGGGUGACGGUACCUCCAGAAGAAGCCCCGGCUAACUACGUGCCAGCAGCCGCGGUAAUACGUAGGGGGCCAGCGUUGUCCGGAUUCAUUGGGCGUAAAGCGCGUGUAGGCGGCCAGGUAGGUCCGACGUGAAAACUGGAGGCUCAACCUCCAGCUGUCGUCGGAAACCCUCUGGCUAGAGUCCGGAAGAGGAGAGUGGAAUUCCUGGUGUAGCGGUGAAAUGCGCAGAUAUCAGGAAGAACACCGAUGGCGAAGGCAGCUCUCUGGGACGGGUACUGACGCUGAGACGCGAAAGCGUGGGGAGCGAACAGGAUUAGAUACCCUGGUAGUCCACGCCGUAAACGAUGGGGCGCUAGUGUGGGCGGUGUCGACUCCGUCCGUGCACCAGGUUUCUCUGCUCUCUCCCCAUGUGCCUCCUUGGUAUGCUAAAAUUCCAAGGGAAUUGCCGACUCGCGCUCAACCAGCCGAGCAUGUGGUCUAAUUCGACCCAACGCGAAGAUCCUUACCAGGACUUGAGAUGUACGGGAAAAUCGUGGAAACACGGUAAAGCGCAAGGGCCCGUGUACAGGUGGUGCAUGGCUGUCGUCAGCUCGUGUUGUGAGAUGUUGGGUUAAGUCUCGCAAAGAGCGCAACCCCUGUGACAUGUUGCCAGCGGAUUAUGGCGGGGAUUCAUGGGAGACUGCCGGUGACAAAACGGAGGAAGGUGGGGAUGACGUCAAGUCAUCAUGCCCUUUAUGCUGUGGGAUACACACGUGUUACAUUGGCCGGUACAGAGGGCUGCAAGCCCGUGAGGGGGAGCGAAUCCCAAAAAAACGGUCUCGGUUCGGAUUGGAGGCUGAAACUGGCCUCCAUGAAGGCGGAGUUGCUAGUAAUCGCGGAUCAGCAUUGCCGCGGUGAAUACGUUCCCGGGCCUUGUACACACCGCCCGUCACACCACGAAAGCCGGCAACACCCGAAGCCGGUGGCCUAACCCGCAAGGGAGGGAGCCGUCGAAGGUGGGGUUGGUGAUUGGGGUGAAGUCGUAACAAGGUAGCCGUAGCGGAAGCUGCGGCUGGAUCACCUCCUUUCU
Molecule: ribosomal RNA, 1538 nt
Filed under: uncultured bacterium
Lineage: Bacteria
Description: bacterial SSU rRNA
Rfam family: Bacterial small subunit ribosomal RNA
Source: RNAcentral